Molecule: ribosomal RNA, 492 nt
Filed under: uncultured bacterium
Lineage: Bacteria
Description: partial 16S ribosomal RNA
Rfam family: Bacterial small subunit ribosomal RNA
Source: RNAcentral
AGUGAACGCUGGCGGUAGGCCUAACACAUGCAAGUCGAACGGCAGCACAGUAAGAGCUUGCUCUUACGGGUGGCGAGUGGCGUACGGGUGAGGAAUACAUCGGAAUCUACUUUUUCGUGGGGGAUAACGUAGGGAAACUUACGCUAAUACCGCAUACGACCUACGUGUGAAAGCAGGGGAUCUUCGGACCUUGCGCGAUUGAAUGAGCCGAUGUCGGCUUAGCUAGUUGGCGGGGUAAAGGCCCACCAAUGCGACGAUCCGUAGCUGGUCUGAGAGGAUGAUCACCCACACUGGACCUGAGACACGUACCCGACUCCUAGGGGAGGAAGCAGUGGGGAAUAUUGGACAAUGGGAGCAAGCCUGAUCCAGCCAUCCCGCGUGGGUGAAGAAGGCCUUCGGGUUGUAAAGCCCUUUUGUUGGGAAAGAAAAGCAGCAGGUUAAUACCCCGCUGUUCUGACGGUACCCAAAGAAUAAGCACCGGCUAACUUCGUG